Molecule: ribosomal RNA, 838 nt
Filed under: Embarria clematidis
Lineage: Eukaryota; Fungi; Ascomycota; Dothideomycetes; Pleosporales; Phaeosphaeriaceae
Description: partial large subunit ribosomal RNA
Rfam family: Eukaryotic large subunit ribosomal RNA
Source: RNAcentral
GCAUAUCAAUAAGCGGAGGAAAAGAAACCAACAGGGAUUGCCCUAGUAACGGCGAGUGAAGCGGCAACAGCUCAAAUUUGAAAUCUGGCUCUUUCAGGGUCCGAGUUGUAAUUUGCAGAGGGCGCUUUGGCAUUGGCAGCGGUCCAAGUUCCUUGGAACAGGACGUCACAGAGGGUGAGAAUCCCGUACGUGGUCGCUGGCCUUUGCCGUGUAAAGCCCCUUCGACGAGUCGAGUUGUUUGGGAAUGCAGCUCUAAAUGGGAGGUAAAUUUCUUCUAAAGCUAAAUACUGGCCAGAGACCGAUAGCGCACAAGUAGAGUGAUCGAAAGAUGAAAAGCACUUUGGAAAGAGAGUCAAAUAGCACGUGAAAUUGUUGAAAGGGAAGCGCUUGCAGCCAGACUUGCCUGUAGUUGCUCAUCCGGGCUCUUGCCCGGUGCACUCUUCUAUAGGCAGGCCAGCAUCAGUUUGGGCGGUUGGAUAAAGGUCUCUGUCACGUACCUCCCUUCGGGGAGGCCUUAUAGGGGAGACGACAUGCAACCAGCCUGGACUGAGGUCCGCGCAUUUGCUAGGAUGCUGGCGUAAUGGCUGUAAGCGGCCCGUCUUGAAACACGGACCAAGGAGUCUAACAUCUAUGCGAGUGUUUGGGUGUCAAGCCCGAGCGCGUAAUGAAAGUGAACGGAGGUGGGAACCCUUUAGGGUGCACCAUCGACCGAUCCUGAUGUCUUCGGAUGGAUUUGAGUAAGAGCAUGGCUGUUGGGACCCGAAAGAUGGUGAACUAUGCUUGAAUAGGGUGAAGCCAGAGGAAACUCUGGUGGAGGCUCGCAGCGGUUCUGACGUGC